Molecule: ribosomal RNA, 604 nt
Filed under: uncultured Bacteroidota bacterium
Lineage: Bacteria; Pseudomonadati; Bacteroidota
Description: bacterial SSU rRNA
Rfam family: Bacterial small subunit ribosomal RNA
Source: RNAcentral
GUACUGAGACACGGACCAGACUCCUACGGGAGGCAGCAGUGAGGAAUAUUGGACAAUGGGAGCAAUCCCGAUCCAGCCAUGCCGCGUGCAGGAAGACUGCCCUAUGGGUUGUAAACUGCUUUUAUACAGGAAGAAAAAGGUGUACGUGUACACUGUUGACGGUACUGUAAGAAUAAGGAUCGGCUAACUCCGUGCCAGCAGCCGCGGUAAUGCGGAGGAUCCAAGCGUUAUCCGGAAUCAUUGGGUUUAAAGGGUCCGUAGGCGGGAUGAUAAGUCAGUGGUGAAAGUCUGCAGCCUAACUGUAGAAUUGCCAUUGAUACUGUUGUUCUUGAGUUAUUGUGAAGUGGUUAGAAUGAAUAGUGUAGCGGUGAAAUGCAUAGAUAUUACUCAGAAUACCGAUUGCGAAGGCAGAUCACUAACAAUGAACUGACGCUGAUGGACGAAAGCGUAGGUAGCGAACAGGAUUAGAUACCCUGGUAGUCUACGCCGUAAACGAUGGUUACUAGCUGUUCGGGUUAAUUGAGACCUGAGUGGCUAAGCGAAAGUGAUAAGUAACCCACCUGGGGAGUACGUUCGCAAGAAUGAAACUCAAAGGAAUUGACGG